This 474-nucleotide ribosomal RNA is filed under the name uncultured bacterium. Its description in RNAcentral is "bacterial SSU rRNA". It matches the Rfam family "Bacterial small subunit ribosomal RNA", at positions 335 to 799 of the family's 1533-position model. The record is from RNAcentral.
ACUCCUACGGGAGGCAGCAGUGGGGAAUAUUGCACAAUGGGGGAAACCCUGAUGCAGCCAUGCCGCGUGUGUGAAGAAGGCCUUCGGGUUGUAAAGCACUUUCAGUAGGGAGGAAGGUAGUGUAGUUAACACCUGCACUAUUUGACGUUACCUACAGAAGAAGCACCGGCUAACUCCGUGCCAGCAGUCCGCGGUAAUACGGAGGGUGCGAGCGUUAAUCGGAAUUACUGGGCGUAAAGCGCAUGCAGGCGGCCUGUUAAGUCAGAUGUGAAAGCCCGGGGCUUAACCUCGGAAUUGCAUUUGAAACUGGCAGGCUAGAGUCUUGUAGAGGGGGGUAGAAUUUCAGGUGUAGCGGUGAAAUGCGUAGAGAUCUGAAGGAAUACCAGUGGCGAAGGCGGCCCCCUGGACAAAGACUGACGCUCAGAUGCGAAAGCGUGGGGAGCAAACAGGAUUAGAUACCCUGGUAGGAUAGCG